This 216-nucleotide long non-coding RNA is filed under the name Arachis ipaensis. Its description in RNAcentral is "long non-coding RNA (AIPA_LNC001167)". Lineage: Eukaryota; Viridiplantae; Streptophyta; Magnoliopsida; Fabales; Fabaceae. The record is from RNAcentral.
UGUGUGGUUUCUUUUGACAAUUUUGUUUUGCAUUUUUCUCACCCGGAGUACUCUAUUUUUUCCAUUCCUGAUGUAUUUGUUUAAGGUUGGUUUCCAAUUUAGUAAUUACAUUUUGUUUGAAUGUUGACUUAUCGUUUACAAUACAAUAAUGAGACUAGCUAGAACUACAAACAAAUCAAAUUGUUAAUCUCUCCUGAAAUUCAACCUUGGUGUAAG